AUGGCCUACGGGGGGCAGCAGUGAGGAAUAUUGGUCAAUGGGCGCAAGCCUGAACCAGCCAAGUCGCGUGAGGGAUGACGGUCCUAUGGAUUGUAAACCUCUUUUGUCGGGGAGCAAGGCCCGCCACGUGUGGCGGGAAGGAGAGUACCCGAAGAAAAAGCAUCGGCUAACUCCGUGCCAGCCUCCGCGGUAAUACGGAGGAUGCGAGCGUUAUCCGGAUUUAUUUGGUUUAAAGGGUGCGUAGGCGGGAGGUUAAGUCAGCGGUCAAAUGUCGGUGCUCAAAACCGGCCUGCCGUUUCAACUGG
This 305-nucleotide ribosomal RNA is filed under the name uncultured bacterium. Its description in RNAcentral is "bacterial SSU rRNA". It matches the Rfam family "Bacterial small subunit ribosomal RNA", at positions 334 to 636 of the family's 1533-position model. The record is from RNAcentral.